This 253-nucleotide ribosomal RNA is filed under the name uncultured bacterium. RNAcentral describes it as "partial 16S ribosomal RNA". It matches the Rfam family "Bacterial small subunit ribosomal RNA", at positions 524 to 776 of the family's 1533-position model. The record is from RNAcentral.
UACGGAGGUGGCUAGCGUUGUUCGGAAUUACUGGGCGUAAAGGGCGCGUAGGCGGCAUGGCAAGUCAGAUGUGAAAGCCCCGGGCUUAACUCGGGAACUGCAUCUGAAACUGCUUUGCUUGAGUCCUGGAGGGGGUAGUGGAAUUCCCAGUGUAGCGGUGAAAUGCGUAGAUAUUGGGAGGAACACCUGCGGCGAAGGCGGCUACCUGGACAGUGACUGACGCUGAGGCGCGAAAGCUAGGGGAGCGAACGGG